Salvelinus sp. IW2-2015 is the source of this 950-nucleotide long non-coding RNA. RefSeq lists it as uncharacterized. Lineage: Eukaryota; Metazoa; Chordata; Actinopteri; Salmoniformes; Salmonidae. The record is from RefSeq and is a predicted model, not a curated record.
UCUUUCACUUCACAACGUUAACGUGCUUCUCAUUCUGGACACACAGGAAGAGACACAGGAAGAGACACAGGAAGACACAAAGGAAGAGACACGGGAAGAGACACAAAGGAAGAGACACAGGAAGAGACACAGGAAGACACGCGGGAAGACACGCGGAAAGACACGCGGGAAGAGACACGGGAAGAGACGCGGGAAGCGACGCGGGAAGAGACGCGGGAAGCGACGCGGGAGGAGACGCGGGAGGAGACGCGGGAGGAGACGCGGGAGGAGACGCGGGAAGGGACGCGGGAAGGGACGCGGGAAGCGACACAGGGAAUUACAACACCACUAUGGAGGGAUGACUACCUAGCUAGCAGCUCAACCACACAGGAUUCAUACACUACUGGAUUCAGGCUGUAAGAAGUACUGCUGUUGACUCUGGAAUGUUGCCAUUGGCUCCCUGGUUCCACGGUCUUUUCUCUCUGCUGAGAGGACGCACUGUGACUCUGAGAACACACAGUCCAAAGUUACAACACACAGGUUCAGGCAGAGCCAGGCCACUCCCUCUGAAGCAGUCUACCGACUGAGGUGACUAUCGGGUUUGAAUCCACGAUGAUGAAUACACAUGUGGUUAUGAGAGACGGGCGAGUGCUGUCAAGGGCUGAGUUCUUAUCGUUGCUGAACACGUACAACUGUUUUCUAAAAGACAAGACCCAACAGCAUCUUGUCUUCUGUGAGUUGGUAUCUUCAGCAAAGAGAAGUACGGUAGAAGAUACAGCAGCAAGGUGAUGGAGAUUAGGAAUAACAGAGGUCCAAUUAUCAAACCCUGUGGGACGCCACAUUGGCCCUGGUAGUUGCACAGCCGUUGCAUAAACACAUUGUUUUGUAUCAUAAUCAUAACAACAGUGCAUUCGGAAAGUAUUCAGCCCACAUUUUGUUACGUUACAGCCUUAUUCUAAAAUGGAUUCAAU